UGAUGGGAGCUUGCUCCCUGAUGUUAGCGGCGGACGGGUGAGUAACACGUGGGCAACCUACCUGUAAGACUGGGAUAACUCCGGGAAACCGGGGCUAAUACCGGAUAACCCGUUCCUCCUCAUGGAGGGGCGGUAAAAGAUGGCUUCUUGCUAUCACUUACAGAUGGGCCCGCGGCGCAUUAGCUAGUUGGUAAGGUAAUGGCUUACCAAGGCGACGAUGCGUAGCCGACCUGAGAGGGUGAUCGGCCACACUGGGACUGAGACACGGCCCAGACUCCUACGGGAGGCAGCAGUAGGGAAUCUUCCGCAAUGGACGAAAGUCUGACGGAGCAACGCCGCGUGAGUGAUGAAGGUUUUCGGAUCGUAAAGCUCUGUUGUUAGGGAAGAACAAGUGCCGUUCGAAUAGGGCGGCACCUUGACGGUACCUAACCAGAAAGCCACGGCUAACUACGUGCCAGCAGCCGCGGUAAUACGUAGGUGGCAAGCGUUGUCCGGAAUUAUUGGGCGUAAAGCGCGCGCAGGCGGUCUUUUAAGUCUGAUGUGAAAGCCCACGGCUCAACCGUGGAGGGUCAUUGGAAACUGGGAGACUUGAGUACAGAAGAGGAGAGUGGAAUUCCACGUGUAGCGGUGAAAUGCGUAGAUAUGUGGAGGAACACCAGUGGCGAAGGCGACUCUCUGGUCUGUAACUGACGCUGAGGCGCGAAAGCGUGGGGAGCAAACAGGAUUAGAUACCCUGGUAGUCCACGCCGUAAACGAUGAGUGCUAGGUGUUAGGGGUUUCGAUGCCCUUAGUGCCGAAGUUAACACAUUAAGCACUCCGCCUGGGGAGUACGACCGCAAGGUUGAAACUCAAAGGAAUUGACGGGGGCCCGCACAAGCAGUGGAGCAUGUGGUUUAAUUCGAAGCAACGCGAAGAACCUUACCAGGUCUUGACAUCCUUUGACAACCCUAGAGAUAGGGCUUUCCCCUUCGGGGGACAAAGUGAC
Molecule: ribosomal RNA, 985 nt
Filed under: Alkalihalophilus pseudofirmus
Lineage: Bacteria; Bacillati; Bacillota; Bacilli; Caryophanales; Bacillaceae
Description: bacterial SSU rRNA
Rfam family: Bacterial small subunit ribosomal RNA
Source: RNAcentral